CAUCCCGACAGUCGGUGGCCUCACUCUUUGCUCCCUAUCUAGUGGCUGCCAGUAGAGAGCCAAGGAAACACUCCUUUGACUGAGUCUGUCAGAACACAGGUGCAACAGUCAAAGCAGAAAGUCUGCCUUCUGAGGCUAUCGUUUAUUGAGCAUCUACAUGACUGUCACUCAGCUUGGACUCUGCAUGCACUCUCUCAGUUUCCACAAUAACCUGAGCAGACCCACUUUCUCUGGACAGCACAACUGAAAAGAACCUGGUCUUGGUCAAAGGUACUCAGCUGCACAGUGUCUCCCCAAACCAGGCCCAUCUGGAGCCCCCAAAUGUGGUCUCAUUUGGAAGUAAGGUCUUUGCAGAUGUAAUUAUCCAAGAUGAAGUUAAGCGUCCAGUAACAAGUGUCCUUGUGAGAUGAGACAUAGAGGAUGCAGACACAGACACUGGAGCUCUACACCAUAAGCCAACAGUUGCCAAGAGCUGUACGCAGCCACCUGAAACUAAGAGAGAAGCAUGGAAGAUUCCCCUCACAGCCCUCCCAAGGAACCCGAUUUUGGACUUCUAGCCUCUAGAACUGCAUGUUUGUGAUGUGACGGCCGGACUGCCACAAGUGGCGCCCGAACAGGGACCUGAGUAUCGAGGGAUCCAGUGAAGGACACCACAGAGAAGA
Fukomys damarensis (Damara mole-rat) is the source of this 662-nucleotide long non-coding RNA. RefSeq lists it as uncharacterized. The transcript has 4 exons. The record is from RefSeq and is a predicted model, not a curated record. Lineage: Eukaryota; Metazoa; Chordata; Mammalia; Rodentia; Bathyergidae.